This 21-nucleotide non-coding RNA is filed under the name Arabidopsis thaliana (thale cress). The record is from RNAcentral. Lineage: Eukaryota; Viridiplantae; Streptophyta; Magnoliopsida; Brassicales; Brassicaceae.
UGUCGGUACGUGUUCUAUAUA